RNAcentral lists this unclassified non-coding RNA (140 nucleotides) under uncultured Oidiodendron. RNAcentral describes it as "sequence contains ITS2". The record is from RNAcentral. Lineage: Eukaryota; Fungi; Ascomycota; Leotiomycetes; Myxotrichaceae.
CAACCCUCAAGCACUGCUUGGUGUUGGGCCCCGCCCGUCGCGGCCGGCCCCAAAGUCAGUGGCGGCGCCGUCUGGCUCUAAGCGUAGUACACCUCUCGCUCUGGAGUCCUGCGGUAGCUCGCCAGAACCCCAAAUCUUAU